UGCUCCAGCCCCUCCUGAAUUGAGGCGCCUAGAACUGGACACAGGACUUGAGGUCUGUAUGAAGAUGGAACACAUUAAAAUUAAGAGUUGCACAAGUUGUAGCUGAACGGACCAUCAAAAACGGACUAUCAAAAACUUUGAUAGGUUCUGGAGCUUCAAGGAAAAACAGGACCAGUAUAAUGAGAUCCACAACCCGUCACAAACACUGGCAGUGCUACUUCAAAUGGCUUCACUUCACUGAUGUCAGCAAGGACUUUGUAUACACAAAUAUGGAGAUUGCAAUCUUGAUCCUGGAAACACUGGAACCUUGAAAUGGUAAAACUGGCUUCUUGUGUUCGGGACAGCUUAAUCCAAUUACAGAUGAGUGAAAGAGAUUAGUUACUUUGAUGAAGUUUGGACCAGUCACUUCUUCAUCUGAUUGAAUAUCUGUUCACCCUUGUGUGUCCAAGGACAGCAGCAAGUC
Molecule: long non-coding RNA, 463 nt
Organism: Lepidothrix coronata (blue-crowned manakin)
Lineage: Eukaryota; Metazoa; Chordata; Aves; Passeriformes; Pipridae
Exons: 4
Source: RefSeq, a predicted model, not a curated record